GACGAACGCUGGCGGCGUGCUUAACACAUGCAAGUCGAGCGGUAAGGCCCUUUCGGGGGUACACGAGCGGCGAACGGGUGAGUAACACGUGGGUGACCUGCCCUCAGCUCUGGGAUAAGCCUGGGAAACCGGGUCUAAUACUGGAUAUGACUCCAUGACGCAUGUUGUGGGGUGAAAGCCUUGUGCGGCUGAGGAUGGGCCCGNGGCCUAUCAGCUUGUUGGUGGGGUGANGGCCUACCAAGGCGACGACGGGUAGCCGGCCUGAGAGGGCGACCGGCCACACUGGGACUGAGACACGGCCCAGACUCCUACGGGA
This 316-nucleotide ribosomal RNA is filed under the name uncultured bacterium. RNAcentral describes it as "bacterial SSU rRNA". It matches the Rfam family "Bacterial small subunit ribosomal RNA", at positions 28 to 346 of the family's 1533-position model. The record is from RNAcentral.